GACGAACGCUGGCGGCGUGCUUAACACAUGCAAGUCGAACGGUGAACCUCUUCGGAGGGGAUCAGUGGCGAACGGGUGAGUAACACGUGGGCAACCUGCCCCCGGCUCUGGGAUAACUCCAAGAAAUUGGGGCUAAUACCGGAUGUUCACCGCUUCCCGCAUGGGUGGUGGUGGAAAGGGUUUCCGGCUGGGGAUGGGCCCGCGGCCUAUCAGCUUGUUGGUGGGGUAGUGGCCUACCAAGGCGACGACGGGUAGCCGGCCUGAGAGGGUGACCGGCCACACUGGGACUGAGACACGGCCCAGACUCCUACGGGAGGCAGCAGUGGGGAAUAUCGCGCAAUGGGCGGAAGCCUGACGCAGCGACGCCGCGUGGGGGAUGACGGCCUUCGGGUUGUAAACCUCUUUCAGCAGGGACGAAGCGCAAGUGACGGUACCUGCAGAAGAAGCACCGGCCAACUACGUG
RNAcentral lists this ribosomal RNA (463 nucleotides) under uncultured bacterium. RNAcentral's name for it is "partial 16S ribosomal RNA". It matches the Rfam family "Bacterial small subunit ribosomal RNA", at positions 28 to 507 of the family's 1533-position model. The record is from RNAcentral.